CCUACGGGGGGCAGCAGUGAGGAAUAUUGGUCAAUGGGCGGGAGCCUGAACCAGCCAAGCCGCGUGAGGGAAGAAGGUACAGCGUAUCGUAAACCUCUUUUGUCAGGGAACAAAGGCGGGGACUAGUCCCCGGAUGAGGGUACCUGAAGAAAAAGCAUCGGCUAACUACGUGCCAGCAGCCGCGGUAAUACGUAGGGGGCAAGCGGUAUCCUGAUUUACUGGGUGUAAAGGGAGCGUAGACGGUGCAGCAAGUCUGAUGUGAAAGGUCGGGGCCCAACCCCGGGACUGCAUUGGAAACUGUGGAACUGGAGUACAGGAGAGGUAAGCGGAAUGCCUAGUGUAGCGGUGAAAUGCGUAGAUAUUAGGAGGAACACCAGUGGCGAAGGCGGCUUACUGGACUGUAACUGACGUUGAGGCUCGAAAGCGUGGGGAGCAAACAGGAUUAGAUACCCGUGUAGUC
Molecule: ribosomal RNA, 460 nt
Filed under: uncultured bacterium
Lineage: Bacteria
Description: partial 16S ribosomal RNA
Rfam family: Bacterial small subunit ribosomal RNA
Source: RNAcentral